RNAcentral lists this ribosomal RNA (293 nucleotides) under uncultured eukaryote. RNAcentral describes it as "partial 18S ribosomal RNA". It matches the Rfam family "Eukaryotic small subunit ribosomal RNA", at positions 6 to 299 of the family's 1831-position model. The record is from RNAcentral.
GGUUGAUCCUGCCAGUAGUCAUAUGCUUGUCUCAAAGAUUAAGCCAUGCAUGUCUAAGUAUAAACUGCUUAUACUGUGAAACUGCGAAUGGCUCAUUAAAUCAGUUAUAGUUUAUUUGGUGGUACCUUCUUACUCGGAAUAACCGUAAGAAAUUUAGAGCUAAUACGUGCGUAAAUCCCGACUUCUGGAAGGGACGUAUAUAUUAGAUAAAAGGCCGACCGGGCUCUGCCCGACCCGCGGUGAAUCAUGAUAUCUUCACGAAGCGCAUGGCCUUGUGCCGGCGCUGUUCCAUU